GCAGUCGAACGAGAAAGGGACUGCUUGCAGUCCUGAGUAGAGUGGCGCACGGGUGAGUAACACGUGGAUAAUCUACCCUCAAGCCCGGGAUAACCGUUCGAAAGGACGGCUAAUACCGGAUGCAGUUCAUUUACAGAAGUGGAUGGAUGAAAGACUGCCUCUUCAUGAAAGCAGUUGUUUGGGGAUGAGUUUGCGUACCAUUAGCUUGUUGGUGGGGUAAGGGCCUACCAAGGCUGUGAUGGUUAGCUGGUCUGAGAGGAUGAUCAGUCACACUGGAACUGGAACACGGUCCAGACUCCUACGGGAGGCAGCAGUGAGGAAUUUUGCGCAAUGGGGGAAACCCUGACGCAGCAACGCCGCGUGAGUGAAGAAGGCCCUUGGGUCGUAAAGCUCUGUCAACCGGGAAGAAGUUAGAAUUUAUUAAUAGUGGAUUCUAUUGACGGUACCGGUGGAGGAAGCGCCGGCUAACUCCGUGCCAGCAGCCGCGGUAACACGGGGGGCGCAAGCGUUAUUCGGAAUUAUUGGGCGUAAAGGGCGCGUAGGCGGUUCUGUCGGUCAGAUGUGAAAUCCCGGGGCUCAACCCUGGAAGUGCAUUUGAAACAGCAGAACUUGAGUACGGGAGAGGAAAGCGGAAUUCCUGGUGUAGAGGUGAAAUUCGUAGAUAUCAGGAGGAACACCGAUGGCGAAGGCAGCUUUCUGGACCGAUACUGACGCUGAGGCGCGAAGGCGUGGGUAGCGAACGGGAUUAGAUACCCCGGUAGUCCACGCAGUAAACGAUGU
RNAcentral lists this ribosomal RNA (780 nucleotides) under uncultured bacterium. RNAcentral's name for it is "bacterial SSU rRNA". It matches the Rfam family "Bacterial small subunit ribosomal RNA", at positions 57 to 812 of the family's 1533-position model. The record is from RNAcentral.